Molecule: ribosomal RNA, 494 nt
Filed under: uncultured bacterium
Lineage: Bacteria
Description: partial 16S ribosomal RNA
Rfam family: Bacterial small subunit ribosomal RNA
Source: RNAcentral
GACGAACGCUGGCGGCGUGCUUAACACAUGCAAGUCGAACGGUGAAGCGCCUUCCUUUUUGGUGGGUGUGGAUGAGUGGCGAACUGAUGAGUAACACGUGAGUAACCUGCCCCCUUCUUCUGCAUAACCGCAUGAAAGUGUGGCUAAUACGGGAUAUUCUGGGUCUGUCGCAUGAUGGGUCUGGGAAAGAUCUUGUUUCGGUUGGGGAUGGUCUCGCGGCCUAUCAGCUUGUUGGUGGUGUGAUGGCCUACCAGGGCGGUGGCGGGUAGACGGCGUGGGAGGGUGGACGGUCAGACAGGGUGAGAGGCACCGCUGAGACUCCGACGGGGGGCAGACGCGUGGGGUAGGGAGCAGUGGGCGCAAUCGUGAUGCGGCGGCGAGCCUUAUGCAGUGGAGCCCCUUGGGUUGUGAACCUCUUUCGGCAGUGAACCAGGCUUGCCUCGUAUGUGGGUGGGUUGACGGUAGCUGGAGAAGAAGCGCCGGCUAACUACGUG